Molecule: ribosomal RNA, 2895 nt
Filed under: Escherichia coli
Lineage: Bacteria; Pseudomonadati; Pseudomonadota; Gammaproteobacteria; Enterobacterales; Enterobacteriaceae
Description: partial 23S ribosomal RNA
Rfam family: Bacterial large subunit ribosomal RNA
Source: RNAcentral
GGUUAAGCGACUAAGCGUACACGGUGGAUGCCCUGGCAGUCAGAGGCGAUGAAGGACGUGCUAAUCUGCGAUAAGCGUCGGUAAGGUGAUAUGAACCGUUAUAACCGGCGAUUUCCGAAUGGGGAAACCCAGUGUGUUUCGACACACUAUCAUUAACUGAAUCCAUAGGUUAAUGAGGCGAACCGGGGGAACUGAAACAUCUAAGUACCCCGAGGAAAAGAAAUCAACCGAGAUUCCCCCAGUAGCGGCGAGCGAACGGGGAGCAGCCCAGAGCCUGAAUCAGUGUGUGUGUUAGUGGAAGCGUCUGGAAAGGCGCGCGAUACAGGGUGACAGCCCCGUACACAAAAAUGCACAUGCUGUGAGCUCGAUGAGUAGGGCGGGACACGUGGUAUCCUGUCUGAAUAUGGGGGGACCAUCCUCCAAGGCUAAAUACUCCUGACUGACCGAUAGUGAACCAGUACCGUGAGGGAAAGGCGAAAAGAACCCCGGCGAGGGGAGUGAAAAAGAACCUGAAACCGUGUACGUACAAGCAGUGGGAGCACGCUUAGGCGUGUGACUGCGUACCUUUUGUAUAAUGGGUCAGCGACUUAUAUUCUGUAGCAAGGUUAACCGAAUAGGGGAGCCGAAGGGAAACCGAGUCUUAACUGGGCGUUAAGUUGCAGGGUAUAGACCCGAAACCCGGUGAUCUAGCCAUGGGCAGGUUGAAGGUUGGGUAACACUAACUGGAGGACCGAACCGACUAAUGUUGAAAAAUUAGCGGAUGACUUGUGGCUGGGGGUGAAAGGCCAAUCAAACCGGGAGAUAGCUGGUUCUCCCCGAAAGCUAUUUAGGUAGCGCCUCGUGAAUUCAUCUCCGGGGGUAGAGCACUGUUUCGGCAAGGGGGUCAUCCCGACUUACCAACCCGAUGCAAACUGCGAAUACCGGAGAAUGUUAUCACGGGAGACACACGGCGGGUGCUAACGUCCGUCGUGAAGAGGGAAACAACCCAGACCGCCAGCUAAGGUCCCAAAGUCAUGGUUAAGUGGGAAACGAUGUGGGAAGGCCCAGACAGCCAGGAUGUUGGCUUAGAAGCAGCCAUCAUUUAAAGAAAGCGUAAUAGCUCACUGGUCGAGUCGGCCUGCGCGGAAGAUGUAACGGGGCUAAACCAUGCACCGAAGCUGCGGCAGCGACGCUGAUGCGUUGUUGGGUAGGGGAGCGUUCUGUAAGCCUGCGAAGGUGUGCUGUGAGGCAUGCUGGAGGUAUCAGAAGUGCGAAUGCUGACAUAAGUAACGAUAAAGCGGGUGAAAAGCCCGCUCGCCGGAAGACCAAGGGUUCCUGUCCAACGUUAAUCGGGGCAGGGUGAGUCGACCCCUAAGGCGAGGCCGAAAGGCGUAGUCGAUGGGAAACAGGUUAAUAUUCCUGUACUUGGUGUUACUGCGAAGGGGGGACGGAGAAGGCUAUGUUGGCCGGGCGACGGUUGUCCCGGUUUAAGCGUGUAGGCUGGUUUUCCAGGCAAAUCCGGAAAAUCAAGGCUGAGGCGUGAUGACGAGGCACUACGGUGCUGAAGCAACAAAUGCCCUGCUUCCAGGAAAAGCCUCUAAGCAUCAGGUAACAUCAAAUCGUACCCCAAACCGACACAGGUGGUCAGGUAGAGAAUACCAAGGCGCUUGAGAGAACUCGGGUGAAGGAACUAGGCAAAAUGGUGCCGUAACUUCGGGAGAAGGCACGCUGAUAUGUAGGUGAAGUCCCUCGCGGAUGGAGCUGAAAUCAGUCGAAGAUACCAGCUGGCUGCAACUGUUUAUUAAAAACACAGCACUGUGCAAACACGAAAGUGGACGUAUACGGUGUGACGCCUGCCCGGUGCCGGAAGGUUAAUUGAUGGGGUCAGCGCAAGCGAAGCUCUUGAUCGAAGCCCCGGUAAACGGCGGCCGUAACUAUAACGGUCCUAAGGUAGCGAAAUUCCUUGUCGGGUAAGUUCCGACCUGCACGAAUGGCGUAAUGAUGGCCAGGCUGUCUCCACCCGAGACUCAGUGAAAUUGAACUCGCUGUGAAGAUGCAGUGUACCCGCGGCAAGACGGAAAGACCCCGUGAACCUUUACUAUAGCUUGACACUGAACAUUGAGCCUUGAUGUGUAGGAUAGGUGGGAGGCUUUGAAGUGUGGACGCCAGUCUGCAUGGAGCCGACCUUGAAAUACCACCCUUUAAUGUUUGAUGUUCUAACGUUGACCCCUAAUCGGGGUUGCGGACAGUGUCUGGUGGGUAGUUUGACUGGGGCGGUCUCCUCCUAAAGAGUAACGGAGGAGCACGAAGGUUGGCUAAUCCUGGUCGGACAUCAGGAGGUUAGUGCAAUGGCAUAAGCCAGCUUGACUGCGAGCGUGACGGCGCGAGCAGGUGCGAAAGCAGGUCAUAGUGAUCCGGUGGUUCUGAAUGGAAGGGCCAUCGCUCAACGGAUAAAAGGUACUCCGGGGAUAACAGGCUGAUACCGCCCAAGAGUUCAUAUCGACGGCGGUGUUUGGCACCUCGAUGUCGGCUCAUCACAUCCUGGGGCUGAAGUAGGUCCCAAGGGUAUGGCUGUUCGCCAUUUAAAGUGGUACGCGAGCUGGGUUUAGAACGUCGUGAGACAGUUCGGUCCCUAUCUGCCGUGGGCGCUGGAGAACUGAGGGGGGCUGCUCCUAGUACGAGAGGACCGGAGUGGACGCAUCACUGGUGUUCGGGUUGUCAUGCCAAUGGCACUGCCCGGUAGCUAAAUGCGGAAGAGAUAAGUGCUGAAAGCAUCUAAGCACGAAACUUGCCCCGAGAUGAGUUCUCCCUGACUCCUUGAGAGUCCUGAAGGAACGUUGAAGACGACGACGUUGAUAGGCCGGGUGUGUAAGCGCAGCGAUGCGUUGAGCUAACCGGUACUAAUGAACCGUGAGG